RNAcentral lists this transfer RNA (90 nucleotides) under Micromonospora sonchi. RNAcentral's name for it is "tRNA-Arg". Lineage: Bacteria; Bacillati; Actinomycetota; Actinomycetes; Micromonosporales; Micromonosporaceae. The record is from RNAcentral.
GUCGAAGGUGGUGAGGAUCAGCACCGCCGGACCGCCCGGCUGGUCGGCGUCCGCGCUGAUCCGCCGGGUCGCCUCCAGGCCGUCGACCCC